Molecule: long non-coding RNA, 5584 nt
Filed under: Sus scrofa (pig)
Lineage: Eukaryota; Metazoa; Chordata; Mammalia; Artiodactyla; Suidae
Description: lncRNA (ENSSSCG00060041381.1)
Source: RNAcentral
AACUUUACCUACAUUGGGAGGAGAACGGUAGAUUCCUAGCUAAUGUUAGAAGCUAUUAUAAACAGAGUAAAUGGGAGUUUCCAUUGUGGUUCUGCAGGUUAAGAAUCCAACAUAAGAUUUCCCAUUGUGUCGGAUUGUUAACCACUGAGCCACUCCCGUUAUCACUAUUUUAAACUCAGCUUUGAACAAGAUUUGUUAUCCAUACAAAAGUCACAUCAAAUAAAUCAUUUGUUUCAAAGAAAUAACUCUAUUUUUCCCUUUCAGCACUGAAUUUAAAGAAUAAAUAAAAACAGUAGAUAUUUUUACCCUCAUCUGGUUCCUGUAUUAACUACAUGUAAUCAAAUCGAUUAUUGAGUGGUUCAUUAGCAAAGAGUGUUUUUUCCUUCCACAAUGAAACAUCUCCAAAUUUUCAGAUCAGCAAGCAGAUAUCACAAGAAUAUAACAAUUCUACCCAGGAAAGACAUCCCUCUUCCUCAAAGGGAUCCGGUUCUGCCCCCACAGUCUGCAGUUUGCCACUGGAAAAUCUAUCAGCCUUUUGGGGGAGGCUGGGGGUACUGACUCCUGGGAACUAGGUCUCCUGAUGCUCUUGGACCUACAGUGAAAAAACGUGUGCUGGGGACUGGAGUGUGAGGACCCCAUCCUGCUAGGCUGGAGAGUGCGGAGGCAGGGCCGUGUAUGUGUGGUGCCUGUAGGAUCAGGCACAGGAUCAGGAGGCAGGCAGCCUGGGCUACUGCCCCACUUUCACCACUUAUCACCUGUGUGAGCUUCAGUGGUCCUUUCUUUCUGAGCCUGAGUUUUCUCACCUGUAAAAUGUUGACAAGAGUUCCUACCAUCUAGAGUUAUGAUGGACACAAGAUGGUCCUGAGAGUUUAGCAUAUGCCAGGCACAUAGUACUAAAUCAAGAUUGGGUUGGAUUAGACUUCUUCACUUGGGUCGUGGGUUUGUUUUUGUUUGUUUGUUUGUUUCCAUUCUUUUUUUAAGUGCCCAGGAGGUAAACCUUGGCCUGAAUUUUCACUUCCUUCAGGAGAAGGACCGUCACUGACAACUUACAGCAGCCUUAAAGUGAGCAAGGAGAACACCAUUAGAUAACUUCCCUAAAUGUAAGAAAACAACCAGUACUUAGAUUUUCCUUACCCACCAACUUGGAAGAACUAGCAAACAAAUCAUAGUCAACCUAAGGAAUGUUUAAAAUACCUACUAUCCUCUUUCUGGAGAGCUUGUGCUUCUGGUUUAUGUUAUUUUUACACUUAGUUCUGGCUCAAUAAUACACUAUAAUGCAUCACACAAUCUAAAAAGGAAAUGUCCAGAGCGUUAUUAAUGGUAUAGCUUCUAUUUAUUGAGGAUGUACUAGACAUCCUGCUCUGAGGGCUUUAUGUGUCUUAAUGACUAUUUGAGAUAGGCACUCUGUAUAUGCCCAUUACACCGAUGAGGAAGCUGAGGCUCAAAGAAAUAAAAUCACUUUCCCAAGCUUCAACUACAAAGCUUCUUAACUCUAGGACACUUUGUUGCCUUCCAAAAUACAUUUAAAUAUAAGCACAUUGGCUGCCAGUAACUCUAGACUCACAGCCUCAUAGUUUCAAGUCCAAUGGGAAGAAAAGAUGGUUCUUUGCCAAUAUCUUAAGCAAAAGUCCUAAAAUGAUUCACAGUUGAGCUUGAAUAUGGGGAUGCAUUACAUAUUCAUUCCUGAAUCAAUCAUUGACACCAAAGGGAGAAGACGCUCUGAUUGGCCAGACCCAAAUCAUGUGCCCAGCUGUCAUCAGAGGUGCCAUCAACAUCUGGAUAAAGUUGGGGACAGGUGGUACUCCUAUCCUACAGGAUGUUAUUAACAAUAGAGAAUGGAUGCUAAGCAGCAACAUAUAAGUAACAUUAACCUAAGCCAUGAUAGGUCAUAAUUCCCUGUGAGCCUAGGGACCCCACUACACAUUCUUUUUUUUUUUUUUUUUUUUUUCUUUUUUGGCUGCCCCAUGGCAUAUGGAGUUCCUGGGACAGGGAUUGGAUCUGAGCCGCAGUUGCAACCUACACUGGAUCCUUUAACCCACUGUGCCUGGCACUACAGAGAUACUGCCAAUCCCAUUGUGCCACAGUGGGAACUCCUCAACUACACAUAUUCUUAAUCAAACUCCAUGUCCAUGAACGACAACAAGACAUAACAGAAGAGAUCAGAACAAUUCCUAAAAUUCUGGCCAGAUAAUGACUGCCAGUAUCUCGGCAGAGGUCCUGUGUUCUGGCAAAGUAAAGAUUUAAUCAGCUAGUACAGAGCAUUUCUCACUCAACAGUUAAGUUAUGCCAGAGUCAAUACCUGUGAGUUCAGAGAAGCGUAAUCAUUCCCCUACACUCACUUUGUCAUGAUCUUGGAAAUUCCAGGAUUAAAAACAAAGGAGCCAUAACAGAAACUAAAGGCACUAGAGCCAAGCAGGCUCAGAAGAUUUCAGCUUAUCCUAAAGAGCCUACAGAGGAGAAAGACUCUUCUCAGAUGGUGUCCAUAUGGUUUAUACAUAGUAUACAUGGAAUUUAUGUUGAAUCUACAGCCAGGGACAAAAGUGAUGCAAAAGGAACUGACCAAUCACCUUUCUUAGAGCUGGAAUCCACUGAGAACAUGACUCACUGGGAUGAGAGGGGUCAUUGUUGGAGGGAGCCAGCAGACUAGCAGGAUGGAAUUUGGUUCUGGUUGGAUGAAACUGUUAGCAUGGCCCUGGUACCCUUGGUUAAAUAUGUAAUCAUAUUCCAUAAGUAAAGAGAAAGGUCCACAACAUAAUAGCUCAUGAAUAUCUUCAAAACAAAGAUUAACAUUUAUCUCGAAGUACAAAUCUUCCUUAAAUUAUAAACUGCUAAUUUAAAAUGCCCAAGGAUUAGGCCAGUCUCCUAAAUCAACUCUCUGUGUAUCAGAUUCCUUUGACAUAAAACAGCCUGGGUGACGGAGUUCCCGUCAUGGCGCAGUGGAAACGAAUCUGACUAGGAACCAUGAGGUUGCACGUUCGAUCCCUGGCCUCACUCAGUGGGUUAAGGAUCCGGCAUUACCGUGAGCUGUGGUGUAGGUUGCAGACACGGCUCAGAUCUGGUGUUGCUAUGGCUCUGGUGUAGGCCGGUGGCUACAGCUCUGAUUCGAUCCCUAGCCUGGGAACCUCCAUAUGCCAAGGGUGUGGCUCUAAAAAGACAAAAGACAAAAAUAAAUAAGUAAAUAAAAUAAAAUCCAACAGCUAGCAUUUUCUUGGAAAAGGCAGCUGCUAAGUGCAGAGGUACCUUAGCCCCAUGACCUGGCCUCAGGUCAUCCUCAGCACCAUUCCCAUCGUCUCCACUUCCCUGGCCACAUUCUCCAGGGGGUGAUGGUGGUGGCGAUGAUGAUGAUGGCGGCUAACAGGAAUCUAGCACUUACUACCUGCUAAACACUCUUCUUUACCCAAGUGCUUUACAUGGAUUAUAUAAGUACUACAGUUGUCUCCACCUCAUGGGAGAAAAUAACCAGAAAUGGAGAAAAUAGGAAAGGCACAAGGUCACUGUUAGUCAGCGACUCCCUCAUCCACAUGUUUAACUCAGUCAUGGUAUUUGUGAGCAUGACAGUAAGGAUUUUCUCACUUUCAGUAACGAGUUAGUUGUUAUUUCUAAUUAUCAUCAGCUUUCUCAUUUAGAUAUGCAUGAACAAGUCUCACAUAGGUAAGAACAGGACUAAGAUGAUUUGGAUAAUUUAAAAAAAAAAAUUGGGGGCGGGCUGCACUUGUCGCCUAUGGAAGUUCCCAGGCUAGGGAGUCCAAUACAAGUGGCAGCUGCCGGACAACGUCACAACCACAGCAACACCAGAUCCAGCCCCAGCUGUGACCUAGACCAUAGCUCAUGGCAAUGCUGGAUCCCUAACCCACUGAGCAGGCAGGGGCCAGGGAUUGAACUGCGUCCUCAUGGAUUCUAGUCGGGUUCAUUACAACUGAACUACAGUGGGAACUCUGGUUUGGAUAAUUUUUAGACAGCAAAUUUCUUUGACCUACCACAGGACAUUCUGCCAUUGAACAUCUGAAACUAGAAAGGGGUGCUCAGGAUUCACCUUAGCCACCUACCCAUUUCUGGGAGCUACAGGCUACUGUACAGAGUGUAGGGUUCUCAGUAUCAGUCCUGGGUUCAAGCCCUGGCUCUGCCACUUACCAGCUGAGUGACUGGGAUAUAUUCUUAUCUUUUCAUUGUUAGUUUCUUUUCCAUACAGUAAAGAAUAAUAAAAAGUACCUCUAUGAGAAAGUACGCUAUAAAACAUUUAUGUUAUUUUAGCCCCAGUAAAUGCUUCAUGACAAUAUCAUAUUCAGGGUGGGAAAGCCUGAAUCCCAAAAUGAUCCAUGUAAGAUAUCUGCAGAAGGGAUAGAAAAUUGAGAAGACAGGAAAGGAUUAAAUUCAGAGGUAUCCAUUCUUUCUCUGCAAGAACUAAUCCUGAUUGAAAUACCCUAAAUGUUCUACUUCCACUUUCCUGGAGCAAAGAAACAUUUGAUCAUCUGUGACAACUUCCAUCAAAGUUUCCCUGGUCUACUCUCACUUGUAUGGAGGUUUUCACAUUCUAACUAGCAGCGGUGCUGCAAAAGGUGAAGAAAGGCAGGGGAGGGAUUAGGAGGCACAGGCCAGGCAACCGGCCUCCCCCUGUACACGGGUGACCUCAAGAGUGCCACUUCUUGAGAUACCAAGAAGCUGAUGGUGAUGGUUCAUUGCCCUCAUGGAAGUAUGAUCCCUGCUCCAACUCAGUGGUCUUGCUUCUUGAUAAUAUCUGCUUCUUCACUCCCAAAACUGUCCCUAAAAGCAGCUCUUAAACCUUUGAAAAGAUGGACUGAGCAGAAGGUUGAGAGAGUAGGAAAUGGCCUCAGAAGUUUACAUUUUAAAAUUUACUUAGGUCAUUUGUUUUUAUCAGGCAUCAGAAUUACUGUUGGUUGGCUGCUGACCUUAAUCCGUAUUUAACUCUACAAUAUACCAUAGAGAGUAUAUUCACGGUAUUUGCUACCUGAAGUUGGCAGUUAGCCACUCUUAGAGAUGAUGCUUCAAGAGAAUAUUGGAUGAAUCUUUUUGUGUGUGUAUGUGUGUCUUUUUAGGGCUGCACCUGUGGCAUAUGGAAGUUCCCAGGCUAGGGGUCCAGUUGGAGCUGCGGCUUCUGGUCUACACCACAGCCACAGCAUCGCAGGAUCUGAGCCAUGUCUGUGACCUACAUCACAGCUCAUGGCAACGCCAGAUCCUUAACCCACUGAGCGAAUCCAAGGAUCGAACCUACAUCUGCAUGGAUACUAGUCAGCUUUGUUUCUGCUGAUCCACGAUGGGAACUCCCUAUUUGAUGAAUCUCGUGAGUAAGGGAAGCCAGACACAAAAGAGUACAUACUGCAUGAUACCCUUUAUAUGAAGUUCAAAAAUGUGCAAAGCUAAUCUAGUGCUAGAAGUCAAAAUACUGAAUGCAUUGGAUGGGGGACUUCUUGGUAAUAGAAAUGUUCUUUUUCUUAACCAGAGUACUGGUUAACUGGUGUGUUCACUUUGUGAGAAAUUUCUAACACUGUACCUUUAUGAUUUUCUCUAUGUAUGCUAUAACAUAAGUUUACUGAGGAGGAGGAAAAGAAGUAAAGGAGGAAGAGGA